UCAAAUAUUAGUCCACCAUCUCAAAGAUAUCAAAUUCGUCAAAUUAUUUAAUUUUGAAAAUAGAAAUUCGACCGUUGUUAUCUCCAUUCAAAUUCCCACUCGGCCACAGUUAGAUUUGGUCUCAUAGAACCCUAAACACUAAUUUCCCCCAAUUCCAUCAACUUCUAGCGAUCUGAGAGUCUUCACAACGAUGCAAGAUUUUUUCGGAUCUGUUCGUCGAUCCUUGGUAUUUCUUGCUCCCGACGGUGACGACGGUGGGAGGUUCGGUGGCCUUGUAGGGAAGAUCGGCUCCAGCAUCCGUAAAUCUCGUAAUGGACUGUUUUCUAAGCAGUCACUGCGGGCUCUGCCUCCGGUUGCAAAGGAAGAUGCGCCUCCGAUUUGGUGGCGGAAGGGAGAGUUGAUCGGAUGUGGUGCUUUUGGUAGAGUUUAUAUGGGGAUGAAUCUCGAUUCUGGAGAGCUUCUUGCAGUCAAACAAGUCUCAAUUGCGGCUAAUAGUGCUUCAAGGGAGAAAGCCCAAGCUCACAUACGGGAGCUGGAGGAGGAAGUGAGGCUUUUGAAGAAUCUUUCUCACCCCAAUAUUGUGAGAUAUCUGGGAACUGCUAGAGAGGAAGAUUCAUUAAAUAUUCUAUUGGAGUUUGUUCCUGGAGGAUCAAUAUCAUCUCUGUUAGGGAAAUUUGGGUCUUUUCCUGAGUCUGUUAUAAAAACCUACACGAAGCAGCUAUUAUUGGGGCUUGAGUACCUUCAUAAGAACGGCAUCAUGCAUAGGGAUAUAAAGGGUGCAAAUAUUCUUGUAGACAAUAAGGGGUGUAUUAAACUUGCAGAUUUUGGUGCAUCCAAGAAAGUUGUUGAGCUGGCAACUAUAAAUGGAGCCAAAUCAAUGAAGGGUACUCCAUAUUGGAUGGCUCCUGAAGUUAUUCUCCAGACUGGACAUAGCUUCUCUGCGGAUAUAUGGAGUGUGGGGUGUACUGUUAUUGAAAUGGCAACAGGGAAACCUCCAUGGAGCCAACAGUAUCAAGAGGUUGCUGCUCUUUUCCAUAUAGGGAAUACUAAGUCCCAUCCGCCCAUUCCUGAGCAUCUAUCUGCUGAGGCUAAAGAUUUUCUGUUAAAAUGUCUACAAGAGGAACCAAACUCAAGGCCUACUGCAUCAGACUUGCUGCAGCAUCCAUUUGUCUUAUGUGAGUAUCAAGAACCUGUUGCAGCAGUCUGUGCCUCUUUUGCGGAAUCUGGGAAACAGGUUGCUGAUUCUAGGCUGAACUCUAAUGAUCUUAAGAAGUCUACAAUCCAACGUUCAACCUGUGAGGGCUUGAAAAAUAUUUGUGAAAUGGGUAGCUUGAGGUGCUCUUCUGUAUUUUCUGGGAACUAUGGGUCACGGUCCAACUGGGGCUCGAGCAAUUUUGAGGAUGAUAUGUGCCAGAUAGAUGAUAAAGAUCUAUUUGUUAGUUCAUCAAUGAAGUAUAAAUCUAUUAUAUCAUCAACUGAUUUGAAUAAGAGUUUCAAUCCUAUGAGUGAACCCACUGAUGACUUGGAUGAGAGCUCAGAGUUGGGAGGGAAUUUAAUGGAAUUGUCUGGCGUUCAAACUGGAAAGGGGAGUGACUUCACUUUUCCUUGUGGUCAAUCAGCAGCUGAGGAUGACGAAGAGGUUACGGAAUCAAAGAUUAAAGCCUUCCUGGAUGAAAAGGCUCUAGAACUGAAGAAGCUGCAAACACCUUUAUACGAAGAGUUCCGCAGCACAGUUAAUGCAGCUAAUGCCUUGGGAACAGUUGGAAUUGAGAAUAUCAAGAGUGUAUCUAAUUUUUUGAAAUUGCCUCCCAAAUGUGGGUCACCAAGUAAACUGCGUGGUAAAAGACUCUCAUCAACUGAUGCUGGUAACUGUUCCAGCCGUCAGAGCCGUAUAAAACAAGCUAGCAUAUUGCAAGAUCGAGCUCUUCAGGAAAUUCAGUCCCCGCAACUUGGGGAAUGGAACAAAUUACUUCAAACCCAGCCAGACUCUUCAACACCAAGUUUCUCUGAAAGACAAAGGAAAUGGAAAGAAGAGCUUGAGGAAGAACUUAAAAGGAAACGAGUGCCAUAUCAUGAGUUGACUAGGAUUAAGGAUGAGACACAUGUGUCUUCUCGGUUAACACUUAGCUCGGUAAGCCAUACCUGAUAUUUGUAUGUUUUUCUUCUUGACAUGUGUAUGUGUAUCAGUGCCAUAUCAUGAGUUGACUAGGAUUAAGGAUGAGACACAUGUGUCUUCUCGGUUAACACUUAGCUCAAAAUGAUGCGGAGAGGAAUUGUAGGAGCAAUUCACUAACAUCAUCAUAUCUUCCAGAGUAAAAACAACAGAAAUCUCGGUGAAUCUCACUCUCACAUCCCCUGGCAGUAAAAUGCUGUGUAGCCUAUUGUACUAUGCAGGGGAUACAAGUGCCUUCUCAUCGUUGCAAUUGUUAGUAAUGUAUGUACACUCUUCACCAGCAAUGUUCAGAAAAGGUGGGUGCGGUUCAUGGUCUCUCAGCACAUAGCAAUCUCACAGGGAAGUCCAAGCAUUUCAACUGGAAAAACCUGAUAAGUUAUAUAUAUUUACACUUCUUUCGUUUGAUUAUUAAUAUUUGCAUCCUCCUCCCCAUCUCACCAGCUUUUCUACAUUCCUCACCCCACGACACCCGGUUAUGGUGGUUCCUGUUAUCUUCUAUGUUAUUGGUGAAAAUUUGUGGCUUGGAGAGUCUUUUACUUGAUGUUCCAAGUGUGACAAAGAAAUAGAGUUUCUUAAAAACAUGUAUUGUAAGUGCCUUCUGUCUAUUGUCUCAAUGAUAGAUUAUCUCCCCUUUUACCAAAAAAGAAAAGAAAAAAGAAUUAAUUUACCAAACUGACAGAAGUUUCAGGUUCGAAUAUUGGUUUCAACUUUAAAUUUUGAUUCCCUAAGCAGUUCAAUAAACUUGUUGAAUAUUUUUUGGUUACAAAUGUCAUCUAGAGAUUGGUGGGGGCUGAUUUUGAUUGUGAAGAAUCAGACUCUUUCCCUGUGAAAGAAAAUUGCUCUUAUUUUGCUGGUGUUCUUUUG
Non-coding RNA from Benincasa hispida (wax gourd), 3037 nucleotides. The record is from RefSeq and is a predicted model, not a curated record. Lineage: Eukaryota; Viridiplantae; Streptophyta; Magnoliopsida; Cucurbitales; Cucurbitaceae.